This 495-nucleotide ribosomal RNA is filed under the name uncultured bacterium. Its description in RNAcentral is "partial 16S ribosomal RNA". It matches the Rfam family "Bacterial small subunit ribosomal RNA", at positions 28 to 507 of the family's 1533-position model. The record is from RNAcentral.
GACGAACGCUGGCGGCGUGCCUAAUACAUGCAAGUAGAACGCUGAAGGAGGAGCUUGCUCUUCUGGAUGAGUUGCGAACGGGUGAGUAACGCGUAGGUAACCUGCCUGGUAGCGGGGGAUAACUAUUGGAAACGAUAGCUAAUACCGCAUAAGAGUAGAUGUUGCAUGACAUUUACUUAAAAGGUGCAAUUGCAUCACUACCAGAUGGACCUGCGUUGUAUUAGCUAGUUGGUGGGGUAACGGCUUACCAAGGCGACGAUACAUAGCCGACCUGAGAGGGUGAUCGGCCACACUGGGACUGAGACACGGCCCAGACUCCUACGGGAGGCAGCAGUAGGGAAUCUUCGGCAAUGGACGGAAGUCUGUCCGAGCAACGCCGCGUGAGUGAAGAAGGGUUUCGGAUCGUAAAGCUCUGUUGUAAGAGAAGAACGAGUGUGAGAGUGGAAAGUUCACACUGUGACGGUAUCUUACCAGAAAGGGACGGCUAACUACGUG